Molecule: ribosomal RNA, 512 nt
Filed under: Borbo holtzii
Lineage: Eukaryota; Metazoa; Arthropoda; Insecta; Lepidoptera; Hesperiidae
Also listed under: 2 other names
Description: Borbo holtzi partial 16S ribosomal RNA
Rfam family: Bacterial large subunit ribosomal RNA (bases 386-512)
Source: RNAcentral
GUCUUUUUGUUAAUAAUUUAAAGUCAAAUCUGCCCACUGAUUUAUAAUUAAAGGGCUGCAGUAUAUUGACUGUACAAAGGUAGCAUAGUAAAUAGUCUUUUAAUUGAAGACUUGUAUGAAUGAUUUGAUGAAAUAUAAACUGUCUCUUUUUUAUAAUUUGAAUUUAAUUUUUUAGUAAAAAAGCUAAAAUUUGAUUAAAAGACGAGAAGACCCUAUAGAGUUUUAUAAUUAAUUUAUUUAUAAAUUUAUUUAUAAUUUUAAAAAUAAUUAAGUUAAUUAUUUUAUUGGGGUGAUAGAAAAAUUAAAUUAACUUUUUUUAAAAAUAAACAUUAAUUAAUGAAUAUAUGAUCCAUAUUUUAUGAUUAUAAGAAAAAAUUACCUUAGGGAUAACAGCGUAAUUUUUUUUUUUAGUUCUUAUAGGAAAAAAAGUUUGCGACCUCGAUGUUGGAUUAAGAUAAAAUUUAAAUGCAGAAGUUUAAAAUUUUGAUCUGUUCGAUCAUUAAAAUCUUACA